GGCCGGCUCGGGUGGUUCAGGCGCGGUCGGAACUAGGCCGGUGCGGCCCAUUUGGCCGGACCGGUCCGGUUUUCCUUUUUUUUCUUUUCUUUUUUCCUUUUUCUGAUUUCUUUGAUAUCUUUUGAUUUUGAACUCCAAAUUGGUCCAAAUAAAUUCCAAAAAAUUUGUAAAAUCGUCUAAUCCUGAUUCAACUUUUGGGACUAAUUUCCCCUCAAAAUAAAAUAUAUAAAAAUACAUUUGCCCUAUAAAUGCCUUUAGGGCUAUAUAACUAUUUAAAUAAAAUAGUUUUUCAACUCCAAAUAAUUAUCCAAAAAUUAUGGGAUAGCCUAUUUAUGCAAUAAACCCUUUUUAUAGCUAAACCCUAUUGGUUUGAAGAUCCAAAGCUCAAAUGGGUGAAACCCUAAGGUUUAAAUUGAAAUAAAAUCUUUUAAAAGCCUUUUUAAGAUUCAAAUUCGAAUUCAAAAAUGCAAUUAUGGCAUGAUGCUCAUGAGUGCAAUGCAUAUG
RNAcentral lists this long non-coding RNA (504 nucleotides) under Brachypodium distachyon (stiff brome). RNAcentral describes it as "long non-coding RNA (BDIS_LNC004405)". Lineage: Eukaryota; Viridiplantae; Streptophyta; Magnoliopsida; Poales; Poaceae. The record is from RNAcentral.